GCAACGCGCAGAACCUUACCAACCCUUGACAUGGCAGGACCGCUGGAGAGAUUCAGCUUUCUCGUAAGAGACCUGCACACAGGUGCUGCAUGGCUGUCGUCAGCUCGUGUCGUGAGAUGUUCGGUUAAGUCCGGCAACGAGCGCAACCCACGUCCCUAGUUACCAGCAUUCAGUUGGGCACUCUAUGGAAACUGCCGAUGAUAAGUCGGAGGAAGGUGUGGAUGAUGUCAAGUCCUCAUGGCCCUUACGGGUUGGGCUACACACGUGCUACAAUGGUGGGGACAGUGGGUUAAUCCCCAAAAGCCAUCUCAGUUCGGAUUGUCCUCUGCAACUCGAGGGCAUGAAGUUGGAAUCGCUAGUAAUCGCGGAACAGCAUGCCGCGGGGAAUACGUUCCCGGCCCUUGUCCACACCGCCCGUCACACCAUGGGAGUUGGUUCUACCCGACGACGCUGCGCCAA
This 459-nucleotide ribosomal RNA is filed under the name Paracoccus sp. m8-11. Its description in RNAcentral is "bacterial SSU rRNA". It matches the Rfam family "Bacterial small subunit ribosomal RNA", at positions 956 to 1438 of the family's 1533-position model. Lineage: Bacteria; Pseudomonadati; Pseudomonadota; Alphaproteobacteria; Rhodobacterales; Paracoccaceae. The record is from RNAcentral.